GACGAACGCUGGCGGCGUGCUUAACACAUGCAAGUCGAACGGAAAGGCCCUGCUUUUGUGGGGUGCUCGAGUGGCGAACGGGUGAGUAACACGUGAGUAACCUGCCCUUGACUUUGGGAUAACUUCAGGAAACUGGGGCUAAUACCGGAUAGGAGCUCCUGCUGCAUGGUGGGGGUUGGAAAGUUUCGGCGGUUGGGGAUGGACUCGCGGCUUAUCAGCUUGUUGGUGGGGUAGUGGCUUACCAAGGCUUUGACGGGUAGCCGGCCUGAGAGGGUGACCGGCGACAUUGGGACUGCGAUACGGACCAGACUGCUACGGGAGGCAGCAGUGGGGAAUAUUGCACAAUGGGCGGAAGCGUGAUGAGGAAACCCCGCGUGCGGGAUGACGGCCUUCGGGUUGUAAACCGCUUUCGCCUGUGACGAAGCGUGAGUGACGGUAAUGGGUAAAGAAGCACCGGCUAACUACGUG
RNAcentral lists this ribosomal RNA (468 nucleotides) under uncultured bacterium. RNAcentral describes it as "partial 16S ribosomal RNA". It matches the Rfam family "Bacterial small subunit ribosomal RNA", at positions 28 to 507 of the family's 1533-position model. The record is from RNAcentral.